Molecule: ribosomal RNA, 229 nt
Filed under: uncultured bacterium
Lineage: Bacteria
Description: partial 16S ribosomal RNA
Rfam family: Bacterial small subunit ribosomal RNA
Source: RNAcentral
CAAGUAGGCGGCUAUGUAAGUCUGUUGUGAAAUCCCAGGGCUCAACCCUGGAACUGCAAUAGAAACUAUAUAGCUUGAGUACCGGAGGGGUAAGGGGAAUUCUCGGUGUGAGGGUGAAAUCUGUAGAUAUCGAGAGGAACACCAGUGGCGAAGGCGUCUUACUGGCCGGUUACUAACGCUGAAUUGCGAAAGCUAGGGGAGCAAACAGGAUUAGAUACCCUGGUAGUCC